RNAcentral lists this transfer RNA (76 nucleotides) under Bacillus cereus BDRD-ST24. Its description in RNAcentral is "tRNA-Arg". Lineage: Bacteria; Bacillati; Bacillota; Bacilli; Caryophanales; Bacillaceae. The record is from RNAcentral.
UGGCGCGGCUGGCGGGGAUCGAACCCACGACCCUUGGCUUCGGAGGCCAAUACUCUAUCCACUGAGCUACAGCCGC